RNAcentral lists this ribosomal RNA (497 nucleotides) under uncultured bacterium. RNAcentral describes it as "partial 16S ribosomal RNA". It matches the Rfam family "Bacterial small subunit ribosomal RNA", at positions 28 to 507 of the family's 1533-position model. The record is from RNAcentral.
GAUGAACGCUGGCGGCGUGCCUAACACAUGCAAGUCGAGCGAACGGACGCGAAGCUUGCUUUUCUGAUGUUAGAGGCGGACGGGAGAGUAACAUGUGGAUCACCUAACUAUAAGACUAGGAUAACUUCGGGAAACCGGAGCUAAUACCGGAUAAUAUCUUGAACCGCAUGGUUCAAAAGUGAAAGACGGUCUUGCUGUAACCUAUAGAUGGAUCCGCGCUGCAUUAGCUAGUUGGUAAGGUAACGGCUUACCAAGGCGACGAUGCAUAGCCGACCUGAGAGGGUGAUCGGCCACACUGGAACUGAGACGCGGUCCUGACUCCUACGGGAGGCAGCAGUAGGGAAUCUUCCGCGAUGUGCGAAAGCCUGACGGAGCAACGCCGCGUGAGUGAUGAAGGUCUUCGGAUCGUAAAACUCUGUUAUUAGGGAAGAACAUAUGUGUAAGGAACUGUGCACAUCUUGACGGUACCUGAUCAGAAAGCCACGGCUAACUACGUG